UGGGGAAUAUUGCACAAUGGGCGCAAGCCUGAUGCAGCCAUGCCGCGUGUAUGAAGAAGGCCUUCGGGUUGUAAAGUACUUUCAGCGGGGAGGAAGGGAGUAAAGUUAAUACCUUUGCUCAUUGACGUUACCCGCAGAAGAAGCACCGGCUAACUCCGUGCCAGCAGCCGCGGUAAUACGGAGGGUGCAAGCGUUAAUCGGAAUUACUGGGCGUAAAGCGCACGCAGGCGGUUUGUUAAGUCAGAUGUGAAAUCCCUGGGCUCAACCUGGGAACUGCAUCUGAUACUGGCAAGCUUGAGUCUCGUAGAGGGGGGUAGAAUUCCAGGUGUAGCGAUGAAAUGCGUAGAGAUCUGGAGGAAUACCGGUGGCGAAGGCGGCCCCCUGGACGAAGACUGACGCUCAGGUGCGAAAGCGUGGGGAGCAAACAGG
RNAcentral lists this ribosomal RNA (429 nucleotides) under Chloroflexota bacterium. RNAcentral's name for it is "Chloroflexi bacterium partial 16S ribosomal RNA". It matches the Rfam family "Bacterial small subunit ribosomal RNA", at positions 355 to 776 of the family's 1533-position model. The record is from RNAcentral. Lineage: Bacteria; Bacillati; Chloroflexota.